AGUCCCACUCGCAUUUCGAUAGAUGGCGCUAAACCACCCAUACGUUCUUCCACAGCCAUCAAACGCAAAACAAAGAAGGAGAGUGCUCAUUCUCUUCACGUCCGUCGCAGCGGCUCGAUGCUACGUGGGGAAAAAGAAAUGGGCUGCUGUAAACACCGAUGGGAGUAUCAACAAAAAGAAACGAUGGAGUCCCAAGUCUGGUCCUGCUAUCUGUGUUCUGCCCAUUUCAUCUUGAAAGAAGAAGUUUCUUGUUUCGUACUGACGGGUCCAUCGUCAUGCUGAACACAUGAAUCCAAAGUGAGUCUGCCAGAAACUGAUCCCCAGCCUGCAAAGCGUGGACCUGCUGAUGGUCUGUCAGUGCACACAGUUACACAGUGAGACACGCACACACACAGUGGGAUGGUUGGCAUGGCCGAAUUCUGUUCCAGCUGCUCUGUGGUGGAAACAGUCAGACACCAUGCAACAGUCUCGUCUCAUUUCUGCCAAACAACUGGAUGAGUGCUGCACGAAGCCUAAUCCAACAUAGGAGAAUGAGUACAAUUUAUUUUUGAAAACAAAAAAAGAUGAUGCUUUGAGUGUAUUCUUGUUGGUUUUGCAUUAACCUGCUUUUUUUAAUUCUGCAGGGGAGCUGCUGGUUGUCUGAAGUGGAAAUUGGGGGAAUCUUUCGUAUUUGGUAAGAAUAGAAAGUAAACGUUAAUUGUGAAUAUUUGUUUUCGCCCACAGUUGUGUAACAGAAAGUGCUCUCUUUUUUUUUUUUUGUUUUCUUUUGCUAUCACUUUUAUAACUGAAAAUGAUUUUCCUGUUUGUGUGGAAAGUACCUCAACUCACGGUGUGUAAUAAAAUUCUCUUCCAAUAAAUCUUGUGAAUCUUGUUUUAAUUGUCUUAAUUGAGCUCACAAAAAUAAUGUUGAAGAGUUUGACGAUGUGUAUUU
Thalassophryne amazonica is the source of this 931-nucleotide long non-coding RNA. RefSeq lists it as uncharacterized. The record is from RefSeq and is a predicted model, not a curated record. The transcript is spliced from 3 exons. NCBI's taxonomy places the organism in Eukaryota, Metazoa, Chordata, Actinopteri, Batrachoidiformes, Batrachoididae.